RNAcentral lists this ribosomal RNA (253 nucleotides) under uncultured bacterium. RNAcentral describes it as "partial 16S ribosomal RNA". It matches the Rfam family "Bacterial small subunit ribosomal RNA", at positions 524 to 776 of the family's 1533-position model. The record is from RNAcentral.
GACGGAGGGGGCUAGCGUUGUUCGGAAUGACUGGGCGUAAAGGGCGCGUAGGCGGUUUUUUAAGUGAGACGUGAAAGCCCUGGGCUUAACCCAGGAGGUGCGUUUCAUACUGAAAGGCUUGAGUGCGAGAGAGGAAAGUGGAAUUCCUAGUGUAGAGGUGAAAUUCGUAGAUAUUAGGAAGAACACCAGUGGCGAAGGCGACUUACUGGACACAUAUUGACGCUGAGGUGCGAAAGCGUGGGGAGCAAACAGG